Long non-coding RNA from Capra hircus (goat), 1380 nucleotides. RefSeq lists it as uncharacterized. NCBI's taxonomy places the organism in Eukaryota, Metazoa, Chordata, Mammalia, Artiodactyla, Bovidae. The transcript is spliced from 2 exons. The record is from RefSeq and is a predicted model, not a curated record.
GUACUCCACGUCCACCUACUCCUCUGCCAUCUUGUUCUACACCACAAAUCAGAUAAUACAAGAAGACCCAAUGCACUCUCCCUGGAUGAGCAACACAUUACGUGUAUCUUGUGCAAUUAGUGGUACGUCAAGGGACCGAAGUUAUGGUUCCCCAAGAUACACUGCUGAAAUAUGAGGACAUGCAGAUGUCAAGUGACAACAAGACUGAACUUCUCAGGAAUAUUUGGAGCUGUGCAAAUGUUUAAAAUUUAAAGAUUUGUUAUACACGGAGUGUUUCCUCCUGACACCCAAAACUUUCAUGCUUUCAUACAGGGUGCUUACAUAUUUGUAAAUAUUUAAGCAACUUGAACGUGCCUGGAAAAUUGCACCACUGUGCUUAGUUUGUACUUUUUAAGGUAGAUCUACAUACCGAGGAAUAGAGCUCAAAAACUUUCAUUUGAUUUGCUUAAUUGUUACUUAAAAUAUUAAUGGCACUGUGUAAAAUUGUAUAAUGGCACUCAAUAAAAGUAAAACUUCUUUGUAAUUAGAAGUGAAGGAAAUAAUACUUUGAACUUAGCAUUUUUCUUGACAGGAAGCUAAAUUCAUUAUUAUACUAGUCCUUGGAGGAAAAAAAAUGAAAAAUUUUUCAUGAAACAUGGAUACUUCCAACUGAGAUCAUUUGAAACCUUGCCUACCAAUUGUCUAGACUGAGCUAAAGGAAACAAAAGCAUUAUGUAAACAAGGAAAUUUUCACAAAAAAAGGACAAAUAUAUAGAAAUACCAGGCUUCCCAAUCCUUCAAGUUUUGAUCCAAUUAUGCUAGGUAUUCCAGUCAGUGGUCUCUCUAACAUACUAGGCAAGGGAUUCCUUUCUGGCCUUUGUUUGCCUAGCAAGCAGCAUUUGUUGCCAAAGCUUCAUGGCUUUGGCAUGAAGUUGAGGCUGUCCAUAAAGCUAAACAAACAUCUCUGAGAUUUGCAGUUACUUCAAAGUUUUAGCAGCAGAAUCUGAGGGUAGGUAUUUUGUAAUGAUGAUUUCUUCAGUUUACAAGGUUAGUAAGUAUUUUGAUAGAACUUGAUGAUCACAGCAUUCCUUGGGUCAGUAUACAACACGUUUUUAGCAGUUUCUGGCUAAGGAUUACAUCUCUGACUAUGAAGAAACUUCAGAUUAACUAAAUAAUUCAGGAGAAACCAAGAUGUGAAGGACAUGUUUACCUUGAACUAUCCAUAAAAUUUUGGCUGCCUUUCUUGUAAACAUUAAGUCCUAGAUUUAUUGUUCAUAUGUAGUUUAGCCUAUUUCAUCAACAAAAAAGGAAAAAAACAGACACUGAAAUAUAAGUGGAUUGCAUGGAGCUUUGGCUUUUUUAAUACUCUGUGAUUAAGUAAAUCUUAGAGCUUAUUAUUCA